Molecule: long non-coding RNA, 1635 nt
Organism: Cygnus atratus (black swan)
Lineage: Eukaryota; Metazoa; Chordata; Aves; Anseriformes; Anatidae
Exons: 5
Source: RefSeq, a predicted model, not a curated record
GUGAACUGCAAAUGACUAAUGCACUCAUAUUGCGCAAAUUCCUCUUUUCAUAUUCAAAGCACUGCCAUGUGCUCCCAGUUCCCCAACCCCAACCAUUAACCUCAAGGGUUUGCGAACCAAAAAAGGAGAUGGAGUCAGUCCAAGAGGAAACAUUCCCAUCUCCAGAAGCACUAUCUGCUGAUUCACAAAGAAAGAAUUUCAGAAAUCCAGCCACUCUCCUUCCCCCAUCACUUCUCCUUUGAGCUUCUAAAGAAGAAGAAACAGUUUUGAGGACUCCUGCUAGGGGCACAUGGUGUCAGGUUCAGUCCUCUGUUUUCCAGCAGGCAAACCAAAGUUCUUUGAUCAGGAUUGCUGAGACUACCAUUAUGAGUGGGCAAUUGGGGGAGGAGAAGACUGGACAGGAAAACUAUGGUAUCUUUCCUUCAGCAUGUAAUACUCUUCAAAAUCUUUACUGGGGACUUCAAUGAUGCGACAAAAUGCAAGUUUUCAAGUGGCACCGAAAGAGGGAGAAGAGUUAAUAGUACAGAAAAGGGAUCUCAACCAGCUGGAGAAGCAGCAGGUGGAAUAGGAAGAAGAAGGGCUGAGGCUCAGGCCAGCAGCAGUUUUGUCCCAAGAGCCCUCAACAUGAGAACAUUGUGUGGAGGUGCAAGGCUGUGAGGACCACAAGCUUCAUGGUGUAAAAAAGCCAUCUGAAAAGAAAGGAAUGGACAAAACCCCUUGGUCCAUGUUUGCUCCGGGUCUCAUAAUACCAAGAAUACACUCGGAUAUAGAGGUUUAUGCAUGACAAAUACUAUAGAAAGCUGCAUAUCAAGCUGAAUGCUUUGGGGAUUUGUUAUUCUGUGCAACAAAGCCUAAUAUGCUUUCCUGGUCAGCAUGUGACUGCACCUGGAUCAUCUACUGCAUCUCUAAUGCCUGUAACAGAUACUUCCUGUUUUGGGAUUCUUUCCAUUGUUCUCUGCUUUGAACUUGACUUGCCUUCUUUAGACAAGAUGUUUAAAUGAUUGAAGACUUAGACACCCAUUUCUGUAUAGUGACACAUGUUCUUCCUCUAAUGUAUGUUAUGUACAAACGUGGAGGUUUGCAGGAGCCUUAUUGUAUUGUAUGAUUAAAUCUUAUUUUUAAACACAAUCUGCAUCAGUGAAACAAAAUUACUUUUUAAACACAUGAGGCUAAAAGGGUGCAAAGCCUUGGUGGAUUCAGCUAAAUUACUUUACAAUGAUUUCUUCUUGAUUUAAUUUAAUUAAUUAACUACAGAUAAGUGUGAUUACAAGUGCUUUUGAGUAAUUGCUGUCUCUUCCUAAGUGUUUGUACAGAACCUAAAACAAUGAAGCCAGUCCUAUGAAUAGUAAUAAAUUUAAGGAAAAAGGUUCAAUUGUGUAUUUUAACAAAAUGCAUAUGUUAUGUUGUUUACCUUUUGCCUUGACUAUAAAGAGUAUAAAUGCUUAAAUAAAUCAAAAGAGCCUAUACUGUUAUAUAUAACACACUAACUUAAAACCCCAAACUGAAAAACUUAAUAUGUUGCUUUGUUCCCAUAACAAUAAAAAUAAAAGAGCUUAAAACUCUAAGUUGCUGAAUAUUCUCUAUCUCACUUAAUGUUAAUUUAGUAAAUAAAAAUAUGUGUAAUAUUAGAGAAGA